Xylaria sp. CBS 124048 is the source of this 98-nucleotide non-coding RNA. The record is from the annotation of a GenBank genome assembly. NCBI's taxonomy places the organism in Eukaryota, Fungi, Ascomycota, Sordariomycetes, Xylariales, Xylariaceae.
GGCUGGUUGGCCUAAUGGUAAGGCGUUGCUUUCCGGUUGUAGUUUCGCACUGCAAUGGAAUUUGGCAAAGAUUGCGGGUUCGAGUCCCGUGCUGGUCG